GAUGAAGAACGGCAGCGAAAUGCGAUACUUGGUGUGAAUUGCAGAAUCCCGUGAACCAUCGAGUCUUUGAACGCAAGUUGCGCCCGAAGCCAUUAGGCCGAGGGCACGCCUGCCUGGGCGUCACACGUCGUUGCCCCCCCAUCUACUCCUUCGGGAUUGCGGGGGGCGGAUGAUGGCCUCCCGUGCGCCUCGUCGCGCGGUUGGCAUAAAUGCCAAGUCCUCGGCGACACACGCCACGACAAUCGGUGGUUGCGAAACCUCGGUUGCCCGUCGUGUGCGGUCGUCGCGCAUCGAGGGCUCGAAAAAAUUGCCGGGCUCCGGCUCGGCUUUCAACGCGACCCCAGGUCAGGCGGGGUUACCCGCUGAAUUUAAGCAUAUCAAUAAGCGGAGGA
This 392-nucleotide unclassified non-coding RNA is filed under the name soil metagenome. RNAcentral's name for it is "partial contains 5.8S ribosomal RNA, internal transcribed spacer 2, and large subunit ribosomal RNA". The stretch from base 1 to 123 matches the Rfam family "5.8S ribosomal RNA", at positions 35 to 154 of the family's 154-position model. The record is from RNAcentral.